This 521-nucleotide ribosomal RNA is filed under the name uncultured bacterium. RNAcentral's name for it is "bacterial SSU rRNA". It matches the Rfam family "Archaeal small subunit ribosomal RNA", at positions 345 to 866 of the family's 1478-position model. The record is from RNAcentral.
AACCUCCGCAAUGUGAGAAAUCGCGACGGGGGGAUCCCAAGUGCCAUUCUUAACGGGAUGGCUUUUCAUUAGUGUAAAGAGCCUUUGGAAUAAGGGCUGGGCAAGACCGGUGCCAGCCGCCGCGGUAACACCGGCAGCUCUAGUGGUAGCAGUUUUUAUUGGGCCUAAAGCGUCCGUAGCCGGUUUAAUAAGUCUCUGGUGAAAUCCUGUAGCUUAACUGUGGGAAUUGCUGGAGAUACUAUUAGACUUGAGACCGGGAGAGGUUAGAGGUACUCCCAGGGUAGAGGUGAAAUUCUGUAAUCCUGGGAGGACCGCCUGUUGCGAAGGCGUCUAACUGGAACGGUUCUGACGGUGAGGGACGAAAGGUUAGGGCGCGAACCGGAUUAGAUACCCGGGUAGUCCUAACUGUAAACGAUGCGGACUUGGUGUUGGGGUGGCUUUGAGCUGCUCCAGUGCCGAAGGGAAGCUGUUAAGUCCGCCGCCUGGGAAGUACGGUCGCAAGACUGAAACUUAAAGGAAGU